This 100-nucleotide signal recognition particle RNA is filed under the name Verrucomicrobiota bacterium. Its description in RNAcentral is "Verrucomicrobia bacterium (activated sludge metagenome) signal recognition particle sRNA small type". It matches the Rfam family "Bacterial small signal recognition particle RNA". Rfam says of the family: The signal recognition particle (SRP) is a universally conserved ribonucleoprotein involved in the co-translational targeting of proteins to membranes. Archaeal SRP consists of a 7S RNA and homologues of the eukaryotic SRP19 and SRP54 proteins. Lineage: Bacteria; Pseudomonadati; Verrucomicrobiota. RNAcentral also lists the same sequence under 1 other name. The record is from RNAcentral.
GGCCGGGACCUAUGCGACGGAAGCAGGUGAAUCCCGCCAGGACCGGAAGGUAGCAACGGUAGCUGUCGCUUUCCGGGCGCCGUAGGCAAACCUGGUCCCG